This 468-nucleotide ribosomal RNA is filed under the name uncultured bacterium. Its description in RNAcentral is "partial 16S ribosomal RNA". It matches the Rfam family "Bacterial small subunit ribosomal RNA", at positions 28 to 507 of the family's 1533-position model. The record is from RNAcentral.
GACGAACGCUGGCGGCGUGCUUAACACAUGCAAGUCGAACGGAAAGGCCCUGCUUUUGUGGGGUGCUCGAGUGGCGAACGGGUGAGUAAAACGUGAGUAACAUGCCCUUGACUUUGGGAUAACUUCAGGGAAAUGGGGCUAAUACCGGAUAGGAGCUCCUGCUGCAUGGGGGGGGUUGGAAAGUGUCGGCGGUUGUGGAUGGACUCGAGGCUUAUCAGCUUGAUGGUGGGGUAGUGGCUUACAAAGGCUGUGAAGGGUAGCCGGCCUGGGAGGGGGACCGGCCACAUUGGGACUGCGAUACGGCCCAGACUCCUACGGGAGGCAGCAGUGGGGAAUAUUGCGCAAUGGGCGGAAGCCUGAUGCAGCAACGCCGCGUGCGGGAUGACGGCCUUCGGGUUGUAAACCGCUUUCGCCUGUGACGAAGCGUGAGUGACGGUAAUGAGUAAAGAAGCACCGGCUAACUACGUG